ACUCAAAUGAAUUGACGGGGGCCCGCACAAGCGGUGGAGCAUGUGGUUCAAUUCGAAGCAACGCGAAGAACCUUACCAGGCCUUGACAUCCCGAUCGCGGGUCCCUGAAAGGGGACCUUUCAGUUCGGCUGGAUCGGUGACAGGUGCUGCAUGGCUGUCGUCAGCUCGUGUCGUGAGAUGUUGGGUUAAGUCCCGCAACGAGCGCAACCCUCGCCCUUAGUUGCCAUCAUUUAGUUGGGCACUCUAAGGGGACUGCCGGUGAUAAGCCGCGAGGAAGGUGGGGAUGACGUCAAGUCCUCAUGGCCCUUACGGCCUGGGCUACACACGUGCUACAAUGGCGGUGACAAUGGGCAGCAAACCCGCAAGGGGGAGCUAAUCUCAAAAAGCCGUCUCAGUUCGGAUUGGAGUCUGCAACUCGACUCCAUGAAGUUGGAAUCGCUAGUAAUCGUGGAUCAGCACGCCACGGUGAAUACGUUCCCGGGCCUUGUACACACCGCCCGU
Molecule: ribosomal RNA, 501 nt
Filed under: uncultured bacterium
Lineage: Bacteria
Description: partial 16S ribosomal RNA
Rfam family: Bacterial small subunit ribosomal RNA
Source: RNAcentral